Molecule: ribosomal RNA, 810 nt
Filed under: Tetrahymena pyriformis
Lineage: Eukaryota; Ciliophora; Oligohymenophorea; Hymenostomatida; Tetrahymenidae
Description: SSU rRNA
Rfam family: Eukaryotic small subunit ribosomal RNA
Source: RNAcentral
GCUUGUCUUAAUAUUAACCCAUGCAUGUGCCAGUUCAGUAUUGAACAGCGAAACUGCGAAUGGCUCAUUAAAACAGUUAUAGUUUAUUUGAUAAUUAAAGAUUACAUGGAUAACCGAGCUAAUUGUUGGGCUAAUACAUGCUUAAAAUUCCGUGUCCUGUGACCGGAACGUAUUUAUUAGAUAUUAGACCAAUCGCAGCAAUGUGAUUGAGAUGAAUCAAAGUAACUGAUCGAAUCGAAGCUUGCUUCGAUAAAUCAUCUAAGUUUCUGCCCUAUCAGCUCUCGAUGGUAGUGUAUUGGACUACCAUGGCAGUCACGGGUAACGGAGAAUUAGGGUUCGAUUCCGGAGAAGGAGCCUGAGAAACGGCUACUACAACUACGGUUCGGCAGCAGGGAAGAAAAUUGGCCAAUCCUAAUUCAGGGAGCCAGUGACAAGAAAUAGCAAGCUGGGAAACUUAGUUUCUACGGCAUUGAAAUGAGAAAAGUGUAAAUCUCUUAGCGAGGAACAAUUGGAGGGCAAGUCAUGGUGCCAGCAGCCGCGGUAAUUCCAGCUCCAAUAGCGUAUAUUAAAGUUGUUGCAGUUAAAAAGCUCGUAGUUGAACUUCUGUUCAGGUUCAUUUCGACUCGUCGAGUGAAACUGGACAUACGUUUGCAAACUAAAAUCGGCCUUCACUGGUUCGACUUAGGGAGUAAACAUUUUACUGUGAAAAAAUUAGAGUGUUCCAGGCAGGUUUUAGCCCGAAUACAUUAGCAUGGAAUAAUGGAAUAGGACUAAGUCCAUUUUAUUGGUUCUUGGAUUUGGUAAUGAUUA